RNAcentral lists this ribosomal RNA (61 nucleotides) under Listeria monocytogenes. Its description in RNAcentral is "partial 23S ribosomal RNA". Lineage: Bacteria; Bacillati; Bacillota; Bacilli; Caryophanales; Listeriaceae. The record is from RNAcentral.
CGCNCCAAUGGAAAUGUGCGUCCAAGCAGUGAGUGUGAGAAGUAGGCAAAUCCGCUUCUCG